This 429-nucleotide ribosomal RNA is filed under the name Chloroflexota bacterium. RNAcentral's name for it is "Chloroflexi bacterium partial 16S ribosomal RNA". It matches the Rfam family "Bacterial small subunit ribosomal RNA", at positions 355 to 776 of the family's 1533-position model. The record is from RNAcentral. Lineage: Bacteria; Bacillati; Chloroflexota.
UGGGGAAUAUUGCACAAUGGGCGCAAGCCUGAUGCAGCCAUGCCGCGUGUGUGAAGAAGGCCUUCGGGUUGUAAAGCACUUUCAGCGGGGAGGAAGGCGUUAAGGUUAAUAACCUUGGCGAUUGACGUUACCCGCAGAAGAAGCACCGGCUAACUCCGUGCCAGCAGCCGCGGUAAUACGGAGGGUGCAAGCGUUAAUCGGAAUUACUGGGCGUAAAGCGCACGCAGGCGGUCUGUCAAGUCGGAUGUGAAAUCCCCGGGCUCAACCUGGGAAAUGCAUUCGAAACUGGCAGGCUAGAGUCUUGUAGAGGGGGGUAGAAUUCCAGGUGUAGCGGUGAAAUGCGUAGAGAUGUGGAGGAAUACCGGUGGCGAAGGCGGCCCCCUGGACAAAGACUGACGCUCAGGUGCGAAAGCGUGGGGAGCAAACAGG